GCACAUGGCGCGCAGCUUGCGCAGGGACGAGCCGGGCCCGCUGUAGGGGUCCUCGAAGUCGCGGUCCUUCUGGGCGCGGUAGGCGCGGAGCAGGUCGCUGGUGUCGUCGCGCAGACGGCGGCGCGAAAAGCCGGGCGAGGUGCCUCCGCCUGCCGUCUGGAGUGGCCGUGGGACCUGCAGCCACCACCUGCACAGUUUGAACUCUGAAUUCUCUACUACCGCUACCUGUGUGUCCCCCUUCCCAUCCGUGGUGGGGUAGGAGGGUUCCAGCUGGCGUCUGAAAAAGGAACCAAGCCCUGGUUUUGGCCAGGGCUGAGGCUAAACAAACAGGAUGUUGCAUAUUUUUUGGUAGGCGCUUUUCCCAUGUGUGUUCCUACAUAAGAGAUACAAUAAAUCAAAUGCAGAGAUGAUA
Haemorhous mexicanus (house finch) is the source of this 412-nucleotide long non-coding RNA. RefSeq lists it as uncharacterized. The transcript is spliced from 2 exons. The record is from RefSeq and is a predicted model, not a curated record. Lineage: Eukaryota; Metazoa; Chordata; Aves; Passeriformes; Fringillidae.